AUGGCAGCGGGCGGAGCUAUUACAAACAAGACACUUGAUGAUGCUUUUCUGCUGAUUGAGAGCAUAGCUUUCCACCAACUUCAGUGGUACAAUGAUAAGCCCACCUCUGAUUCAUUGGUUUGCUUGCAACAAAUCACUACACCUCAGCCGCCAAUUCUUACACAAAAUCCUGAACCUCUAUCUCAGUGUCACAAGAUUGAGCUUGCAUGGAUUAUCUUUGACGAUGAUGACACCAUUCUAGUUGACACACGCGCUACAGAUCACAUGGAUACUAGUGUUGGAGAUUCAGUUUUGCAUUGUGAUGAUUCUUCCAUGGAUGAGCCGGAGCUGCAGUUAGUUGCUUUUGAUAUUGAGGAGUCACCUUUAGUUCAUAUUGAGCAUGUGCUGGUAGAGCCAGAUAUGGAGAAGUUCUCCUUUGAUGAUGUCAGCUGCAUUGAUUCCUCAACACUUGAGCCUGAGAUGGAGAGCUUCAUGGUUGAUUAUGAUGAGGUGGAUUCAGAUGUCAAGGAGCCAAGCUCUACUAUUUCACUUGUUGACAUGAGUCCAGUGGAAAUUUCUACAAGCACACCUCACUUGGUAUCUUCAAUUGAGGUAGUCCUGAAGGUUCUUCCCAAGUAUCUCAGGUUGAUGCUUGUGUACCAUUUACUGCGAGUUGACCGAGUUCGAGAUGACAUUCCCUGGGAUCCUGGUGGAUUCACGACAUGGUGA
This 708-nucleotide ribosomal RNA is filed under the name Triticum aestivum (bread wheat). Its description in RNAcentral is "partial small subunit ribosomal RNA". Lineage: Eukaryota; Viridiplantae; Streptophyta; Magnoliopsida; Poales; Poaceae. The record is from RNAcentral.